AUGUUCAUGCAAUGUGCAGGCUCAGGUGACCCGUUAACAUUGAUCAGGAACUCUUCGUCAAAGUGCCCCAGGAUGCCAGAACUGAAUGAGAUCUGGAUAGCUUGGACUCCACUCGGUUCGAUGAUACCUUCUUUGGGACUGAAAACAAAGCAGGCCCCCAAAGCCGAGGUUGGAGGGUUCACACUGAAGAGCGCAUCGAUGCUGCCCUUGUUGGACAGUACAGCCUGUAUCAGUAAAAGGCAAGGAGAGAAAGGUCAGGGGACCUGUGGUCAAUUUGCAUGUAAGUAAGUGGCUACAUUAUUUAACAUCACAAUUAGAACCCAAAGAAAACCCUGGGGGAAAUGAAAACUGUGAUGUUUUGAAUGUUGGAAGACAGGACUUCCAAGCUAAAAAUUAAGCCUAUGUUUUUAGUGU
RNAcentral lists this long non-coding RNA (414 nucleotides) under Chinchilla lanigera (long-tailed chinchilla). RNAcentral's name for it is "lncRNA (ENSCLAG00000027913.1)". Lineage: Eukaryota; Metazoa; Chordata; Mammalia; Rodentia; Chinchillidae. The record is from RNAcentral.